UGAGAACAGAAAGAGGUCGUUGAUGCAGGGCCGUGUGUGUCCUGUGAGGAGAGAGGUCCACAGCAGCGAUGGCCAGAUAGGGGCUGCAGGCCUUAUCUGGCACCCCACUGGGUUUUGGUUCACAGGCCAGCCAUAUUGCUACAUGAACAUCCUUUCUGUACCUGGGACCCAAGAAACCACCCCAAUGUGAUUUCAUCAAUUACUGGGGUGCAUUGUCAAAUCAUUGCUAGAGUCAGAUGUUGUGGGUGCUCCCUGGAUGGAAAUCCCUCCCCUUAUCUGCUGCUGUCUUUGCUGCACAUUUGUUUCUUGAAUUUUCCUGCUGCCCUCACACUGGAGCUGUUGACAGACAGGAAUGCCCUCAACAAAUUAUACUGUGAGUGUUUCCUUCUUCUUCCUGACCAAGGGUUUAAAGUUCAUUUACAAUUGGCCUGCAGUCCACUUCUUUUUCAAGCACUUAAUCUACCAAGCACCGCAAGUCAAAAUAAAGUUACUUGCAAGAAAAGAAUUCAAGAGGAAAGAGCUUUAUAUAGACCCAUCAGCUCCGUUGAACCCAUAAAAAGUCAAGGGGAAACAAAGUCCUCACAUCAUCACUAAUCAGAAGCCUGAAGUGUGAGGUAAAACGACUGUGCCCUAGCAGCUUCCCACUGCACCUGGAGAGAAGGAAUACUUUCAGGCUUAGCAGCAUAAGACUUUCAGAUAUGAAGACCCUGAAGAAAUAAGCAAUUAAUUAAAAAGAUUUUUCCGAUGAAAUACAAUACAGGAGAAGAAAGGAAAUUGGUUUCAUUUUAUUGAAAAUGAGAAAGAGGGCCCACUAGAAAGAGAAAGAAAGUCAGAAAGAUUAGUAUGGUAAAUUAAAAGGGACCCACAAAUCACUCUUAAAAAUGUCUGUUACGGAUGACGGCAGCGGAAAGCUACUGAAAACAUACGGAGGAAUGGUAGAAAACACGGACUCAAAAGAAGCAGGCACCCUACACAUAACACAGUCACAGAGUUUGGUGUCUACAGGGCUCUUGAGUAAAGGAAUUUCUGUGUGAGGCAACAAGGAGGGAAGGGAGUCCAGCAGACCACACCGUGCUGUCCUGUUUUCAGAAGUACCCACUGUGUAGUUUCAGUCUCUUCUCCCCAUGUAGGAUUAACGCCCACUGGCACUCGUCAUCCCAAGGGAAGUUGGAAAUCUGGGUAUUUUCAUGUGAGGAUCUCCCAGUUUUUAGACACUGACCACAAAUUCGAGUAUUUUAAGUACCCUAAAUAAGCAAAAGCCAACAUGUGCACGGCCUAUACCGACCAAUGGGCUGCCACUUUAAGAACUCAGGAAUCGUAGGUGAAAUUAUGCACAGGCUUUGCACCCUUCUAGAACUGGAUUUUGAUGCCAAGUCCACCAUAAACAUAAAUAGUCCGUUGUCAAUUCCAGUGAAGUCAAAGGAAGUCUAUAAAUUUGUCUAAAGCACAAAAGAAUAAUUGUUAAACUUUAAUUUAAUUAAUAAUGACUAAUUAAUUAUUUUCACUGCUAGGGAUUGUACCAGAGCCUUUACAUUGAGUUACUUCCCCAGUCCUUUAUUUUUAUUAUUAUUUUUUUUUAUAUUGAGAUGGGGUCUUAAUGUCACUAAAUUGCCCAGGCUGAGCUGGAACUCAUGAUUCUACUGCCUCAGCCUCCCAGAAUGCUGGGAUUACAUAAUUAUUUUUUUAAACACAAAUAGCAUACAAAAACAGCGAUACAAUUAAAAAUUUCAAGUCAUGACCUAGUGGAUAAUUAUUUUUUAAAAUGUUGUCAUAUUUGAAAAUAAAAACAAUGCAAUUCACCCAAAACUGGGAGUUGGCCAUGUCUUAAAGCACUGUUUCUCAACUUCUUUUUCCCCAUGACUGUCUACUAAGGAAACUCCUUUCACAGUUUGCUCCCUGACCACUAUCCACCACAAAAAUUUGAGACCAGAGAUACACUGCAUCUGCAUUUAGGUACUAAUGUAUCUCUGCCUUGUAUGUAAACGGAGCACAGCCUCCCUUUCCUCCAAACACAGCUUCUGCCUUCUGGGGAUGAAAGAUUAGCAGUAAGAAUGCCUGUCUCCAAGACAUCCAC
This is a long non-coding RNA of Fukomys damarensis (Damara mole-rat), 2074 nucleotides long. The record is from Ensembl. Lineage: Eukaryota; Metazoa; Chordata; Mammalia; Rodentia; Bathyergidae.